AGCUCUAAUAGCGUAUAUUUAAGUUGUUGCAGUUAAAAAGCUCGUAGUUGGAUUUUGGGUUGGCGCGACCGGUCCGCCGUUGCGGUGUGCACUGGUCGCGGCUUCCUUCUUGCCGAGGAAGCCGUCUGGCCUUGAUUGGCUGGGCGGGGGAGUCGGCGUGGUUACUUUGAGUAAAUUAGAGUGUUCAAAGCAAGCUUGUGCUCUGAAUACGUUAGCAUGGAAUAACAUGAUAGGACUCGGGUUCUAUUUUGUUGGUUUUCGGAACCGGAGUAAUGAUUAAUAGGGACAGUUGGGGGCAUCCGUAUUUCAUUGUCAGAGGUGAAAUUCUUGGAUUUAUGAAAGACGAACUUCUGCGAAAGCAUUUGCCAAAGAUGUUUUCAUUAAUCAAGAACGAAAGUAG
This 400-nucleotide ribosomal RNA is filed under the name phytoplankton environmental sample. RNAcentral's name for it is "partial small subunit ribosomal RNA". It matches the Rfam family "Eukaryotic small subunit ribosomal RNA", at positions 587 to 992 of the family's 1831-position model. The record is from RNAcentral.